Molecule: ribosomal RNA, 253 nt
Filed under: uncultured bacterium
Lineage: Bacteria
Description: partial 16S ribosomal RNA
Rfam family: Bacterial small subunit ribosomal RNA
Source: RNAcentral
UACGGAGGGGGCUAGCGUUGUUCGGAAUUACUGGGCGUAAAGCGCACGUAGGCGGAUUGUUAAGUCAGGGGUGAAAUCCCGAGGCUCAACCUCGGAACUGCCUUCGAUACUGGAGAGCUUGAGUCCGGGAGAGGUGAGUGGAACUGCGAGUGUAGAGGUGAAAUUCGUAGAUAUUCGCAAGAACACCAGUGGCGAAGGCGGCUCACUGGCCCGGUACUGACGCUGAGGUGCGAAAGCGUGGGGAGCAAACAGG